RNAcentral lists this ribosomal RNA (450 nucleotides) under uncultured bacterium. Its description in RNAcentral is "bacterial SSU rRNA". It matches the Rfam family "Bacterial small subunit ribosomal RNA", at positions 354 to 796 of the family's 1533-position model. The record is from RNAcentral.
GUGGGGAAUAUUGGACAAUGGGCGAAAGCCUGAUCCAGCCAUGCCGCGUGUGUGAAGAAGGUCUUCGGAUUGUAAAGCACUUUAAGUUGGGAGGAAGGGCAGUAAGCUAAUACCUUGCUGUUUUGACGUUACCGACAGAAUAAGCACCGGCUAACUCUGUGCCAGCAGCCGCGGUAAUACAGAGGGUGCAAGCGUUAAUCGGAAUUACUGGGCGUAAAGCGCGCGUAGGUGGUUCGUUAAGUUGGAUGUGAAAGCCCCGGGCUCAACCUGGGAACUGCAGCCAAAACUGGCGAGCUAGAGUACGGUAGAGGGUGGUGGAAUUUCCUGUGUAGCGGUGAAAUGCGUAGAUAUAGGAAGGAACACCAGUGGCGAAGGCGACUACCUGGACUGAUACUGACACUGAGGUGCGAAAGCGUGGGGAGCAAACAGGAUUAGAAACCCUUGUAGUCC